Molecule: long non-coding RNA, 903 nt
Organism: Alnus glutinosa
Lineage: Eukaryota; Viridiplantae; Streptophyta; Magnoliopsida; Fagales; Betulaceae
Exons: 3
Source: RefSeq, a predicted model, not a curated record
AGAUGCGUUUUGGGAUAUGGGUGCUCAAGAAUUGGAGACACAACAAAAAAAGACCAAGCAUUCAGCGGGACGAUACUCCUGAGAUGGUAUGAGCAAGAGUAGGGGAAAGAAAACUCUCCAACUACCACCCCGACGAUUUGGAUUCGUUGUUGGAUAAAUGGUGUGAUGAGGAUUAUUAGACUGUCAAGAAUGACACUCCUCUUAUGCAAGUAAAAUCGUACAUAACGACUCACAUGAGGAAUGAUGGAAGCUAUCCAAAUGACACACUAAAGGAGAUAUGUGUAUGCUACUCACCUUUCAUAUAUUGUUUUACUUAUGUGUGUGAUAACUUAUUUACGAUGCACAUUUGUUUGACGCACCAACAUUUAAUAUAAGAUGUAAGAGAGGGUGGCAGAGCUAAUGCCAAGUGUGACAGAAGGAACGAUAUGCUAGAGACCGGAAGACACGUACACCCAGGUGCUCGGCAAUAAGCUGGAGUACGCUGGCAUAGUUCGACAGGUUGGGCCAAAUAUUUGGCCUGUGUGGGGGUCCAUACGCUCAUACUAUACACCUUCACAGCCAUGAUCACAAAAUCAAGAGCACGCAAUCUCGCAAGAAGUGCUCGAGAGAGCACUCAAGGGUGAGCAGGAGAGACACAAGGCACAAAUGGAUGAGGUGUUGGCGGCACAGUUUGAGAUUAUGUCCUGUUUUAGCCAAAUGGAGUCAAUGUGGCGCCAGUUAGCAUCCGUGCCCGUAGUCCCUAAUAAUAAUGCAGCGCCAGAUAGAAAUUCCACACAUCAUAUGAAUGUGAUAUCGUCUAUGGAUAACGGAUCAGCUGGUGUAGAAAAUGAUGUGCAGUUACCCGAUCAUGAAAAUCUUGCUGACGAUUGAUAUUGGGUGACAUUUAGGGUUGUUUUAGUUGGC